GGGUCCCUACGGGGGGCAGCAGUGGGGAAUAUUGCACAAUGGGGGAAACCCUGAUGCAGCAACGCCGCGUGAAGGAAGACGGUUUUCGGAUUGUAAACUUCUGUUCUUAGUGAAGAAUAAUGACGGUAGCUAAGGAGCAAGCCACGGCUAACUACGUGCCAGCAGCCGCGGUAAUACGUAGGUGGCAAGCGUUGUCCGGAAUUACUGGGUGUAAAGGGAGCGCAGGCGGGAAGCCAAGUCAGCUGUGAAAACUACGGGCUUAACUUGUAGACUGCAGUUGAAACUGGGUUUCUUGAGUGAAGUAG
Molecule: ribosomal RNA, 305 nt
Filed under: uncultured bacterium
Lineage: Bacteria
Description: bacterial SSU rRNA
Rfam family: Bacterial small subunit ribosomal RNA
Source: RNAcentral